CAGCAGCCGCGGGAAUACAGAGGAUGCAAGCGUUAUCCGGAAUGAUUGGGCGUAAAGCGUCUGUAGGUGGCUUUUCAAGUCCGCCGUCAAAUCCCAGGGCUCAACCUGGGAACUGCAUUUGUGACUGCAUGACUAGAGUACGGCAGAGGGGGAUGGAAUUCCGCGUGUAGCAGUGAAAUGCGUAGAUAUGCGGAGGAACACCGAUGGCGAAGGCAAUCCCCUGGGCCUGUACUGACGCUCAUGCACGAAAGCGUGGGGAGCAAACAGGAUUAGAUACCCGUGUAGUCCCUGUCUCUUAUAC
Molecule: ribosomal RNA, 301 nt
Filed under: uncultured bacterium
Lineage: Bacteria
Description: partial 16S ribosomal RNA
Rfam family: Bacterial small subunit ribosomal RNA
Source: RNAcentral